Molecule: ribosomal RNA, 493 nt
Filed under: uncultured bacterium
Lineage: Bacteria
Description: bacterial SSU rRNA
Rfam family: Bacterial small subunit ribosomal RNA
Source: RNAcentral
AAAUGAAUAGACGGGGACCCGCACAAGCAGCGGAGCAUGUGGUUUAAUUCGAAGCAACGCGAAGAACCUUACCAGGACUUGACAUCCCUCUGACCGGGCCGUAACGGGUCCUUCCCUUCGGGGCAGAGGAGACAGGUGGUGCAUGGUUGUCGUCAGCUCGUGUCGUGAGAUGUUGGGUUAAGUCCCGCAACGAGCGCAACCCUUGUCAUUAGUUGCCAGCAGUUCGGCUGGGCACUCUAGUGAGACUGCCGGGGAUAACUCGGAGGAAGGUGGGGAUGACGUCAAAUCAUCAUGCCCCUUAUGUUCUGGGCUACACACGUGCUACAAUGGCUGGUACAAAGAGAAGCAAGACCGCGAGGUGGAGCAAAUCUCAAAAACCAGUCCCAGUUCGGAUUGUAGGCUGCAACUCGCCUACAUGAAGUUGGAGUUGCUAGUAAUCGCGAAUCAGAAUGUCGCGGUGAAUGCGUUCCCGGGUCUUGUACACACCGCCCGU